Molecule: ribosomal RNA, 552 nt
Filed under: Vibrio sp. BTTN18
Lineage: Bacteria; Pseudomonadati; Pseudomonadota; Gammaproteobacteria; Vibrionales; Vibrionaceae
Description: bacterial SSU rRNA
Rfam family: Bacterial small subunit ribosomal RNA
Source: RNAcentral
UGCAGUCGAGCGGAACGAGUUAUCUGAACCUUCGGGGGACGAUAACGGCGUCGAGCGGCGGACGGGUGAGUAAUGCCUAGGAAAUUGCCCUGAUGUGGGGGAUAACCAUUGGAAACGAUGGCUAAUACCGCAUGAUGCCUACGGGCCAAAGAGGGGGACCUUCGGGCCUCUCGCGUCAGGAUAUGCCUAGGUGGGAUUAGCUAGUUGGUGAGGUAAGGGCUCACCAAGGCGACGAUCCCUAGCUGGUCUGAGAGGAUGAUCAGCCACACUGGAACUGAGACACGGUCCAGACUCCUACGGGAGGCAGCAGUGGGGAAUAUUGCACAAUGGGCGCAAGCCUGAUGCAGCCAUGCCGCGUGUGUGAAGAAGGCCUUCGGGUUGUAAAGCACUUUCAGUCGUGAGGAAGGUAGCGUCGUUAAUAGCUGCAUUAUUUGACGUUAGCGACAGAAGAAGCACCGGCUAACUCCGUGCCAGCAGCCGCGGUAAUACGGAGGGUGCGAGCGUUAAUCGGAAUUACUGGGCGUAAAGCGCAUGCAGGUGGUUUGUUAAGUC